Molecule: non-coding RNA, 23 nt
Filed under: Cricetulus griseus (Chinese hamster)
Lineage: Eukaryota; Metazoa; Chordata; Mammalia; Rodentia; Cricetidae
Source: RNAcentral
CAGGUUUUGUGAGAUGUGCUGUG